UCUUCCAGAGAGUUCCGAAAUGCUCUGACUUCUCUCUACUUUAUCUCUCUAGAUUUUCUAUGAUUUCUCGGUCUAAUAUCAAUGUUUACAUGGUAUCAGAGCCUAGACGACGAUCCGAUUGUGUUUCUCUACUUCUCGUUGUCUUGGUUGAACUCUUUUUGAGAUUUUCUAGGGCUUUUUCUGAGACCUUAUGGUCGAUGAUGGCUUUGACCUAGAUCGGAUGUUUUUCCGAGUUUUUCGUCAUGAUACUUGAGUAUAUUCUCUUCACCCGAACAUUGUGAGAGUUUUUCUGCUUAUUUUGGGUGGUUUCUCGGUGACCUAUCGGCUUCUAGGGUUUCUGGUGGUUUAACCUAGGGUU
Molecule: long non-coding RNA, 358 nt
Filed under: Nicotiana benthamiana
Lineage: Eukaryota; Viridiplantae; Streptophyta; Magnoliopsida; Solanales; Solanaceae
Description: long non-coding RNA (NBEN_LNC025300)
Source: RNAcentral